RNAcentral lists this small nuclear RNA (320 nucleotides) under Erinaceus europaeus (western European hedgehog). Its description in RNAcentral is "7SK RNA". It matches the Rfam family "7SK RNA". Rfam says of the family: 7SK was discovered as an abundant small nuclear RNA in the mid-70s but a possible function has only recently been suggested. Two independent studies have found that 7SK RNA binds the CDK9/cyclin T complex (known as elongation factor P-TEFb). The record is from Rfam by way of RNAcentral. Lineage: Eukaryota; Metazoa; Chordata; Mammalia; Eulipotyphla; Erinaceidae.
GAGCCUGAGGCCAACAUGCUGGAGCCAACAUCUGUCACCCCAUUGAUCACCAGGGUUGAUUCCUCUGAUCUGCCUGGCUAGGCGGGUGUCCCCUUCCUCCCUCACCGCUCCAUGUGCGUCCCUCCCGAAGCUGCAUGCUUGGUGGAAGAGGAUGGCUUUCUCCAAAUAGAGAUGGACUAGUCAAGAGUAUACGAGUAGCUGUGCUCCCCUGCUAGAACCUCCAAACAAGCUCUCAAAUAUGGGAAGAGUAUAUAAAUACCGUUAAUUGUAAACCCCAUAAAUCUGAUCUAUUUCUAUUCAUAUUGAAAACAGGAGCCUGU